CAGUGGCUGUGAACCCAGGGAGAAGAGCAGAUCCUGCAGGCGCACUUCCACACUCUCGCUGAUCAUUUCUUCCAGUCCUAUGUGCUCGACUUCGGGGAAGAACCAAAGACACCAACACACAGUCAGUGGACGUCCAAGGUAGGGCCUGGAAAUCAUACAGAAACCCACAAAAGACCCCACAGAGACCUUCUGAGCCCUUGGGCAAGCCACCUAUCUUCUCUGGACUCCCUGGAGGACAUCCACCUCAUCACAACUUGGAAAAUCUUGGAACUCAAACAAGACAAGCUCGGCUG
Molecule: non-coding RNA, 293 nt
Organism: Kogia breviceps (pygmy sperm whale)
Lineage: Eukaryota; Metazoa; Chordata; Mammalia; Artiodactyla; Physeteridae
Source: RefSeq, a predicted model, not a curated record